This 477-nucleotide ribosomal RNA is filed under the name uncultured bacterium. RNAcentral's name for it is "partial 16S ribosomal RNA". It matches the Rfam family "Bacterial small subunit ribosomal RNA", at positions 28 to 507 of the family's 1533-position model. The record is from RNAcentral.
GACGAACGCUGGCGGCGUGCUUAACACAUGCAAGUCGAACGGUGAAGCGCCUUCCUUUUUGGUGGGUGUGGAUGAGUGGCGAACGGGUGAGUAACACGUGAGUAACCUGCCCCCUUCUUCUGGAUAACCGCAUGAAAGUGUGGCUAAUACGGGAUAUUCUGGUUCUGUCGCAUGAUGGGUCUGGGAAAGAUAUUGCGGCGGUGGGGGAUGGGCUCGCGGCCUGUCAGCUUGUUGGUGGGGUGGUGGCCUACGAAGGCGGUGACGGGUAGCCGGCCUGAGAGGGUGACCGGCCACAUGGGGACUGAGAGACGGGCCAGACUGCUACGGGAGGGAGCAGGGGGGAAGAGUGCACAAUGGGCGGAGGCCUGAUGGAGCCGCGCCGCGUGCGGGAUGACGGUCUUCGGGUUGUAAACCGCUUUCGCCUGGGACGAAGCGUGAGGGACGGUAAUGGGUAAAGAAGCACCGGCUAACUACGUG